UACGUAGGGGGCAAGCGUUGUCCGGAUUUAUUGGGCGUAAAGAGCGUGUAGGCGGCCAAGCAGGUCCGCUGUGAAAACUCGAGGCUCAACCUCGAGACGUCGGUGGAAACCGUUUGGCUAGAGUCCGGAAGAGGAGAGUGGAAUUCCCGGUGUAGCGGUGAAAUGCGCAGAUAUCGGGAAGAACACCCGUGGCGAAGGCGGGACUCUGGGCCGAUACUGACGCUGAGGAGCGAAAGCGUGGGGAGCAAACAGG
Molecule: ribosomal RNA, 253 nt
Filed under: uncultured bacterium
Lineage: Bacteria
Description: partial 16S ribosomal RNA
Rfam family: Bacterial small subunit ribosomal RNA
Source: RNAcentral